RNAcentral lists this transfer RNA (84 nucleotides) under archaeon. RNAcentral's name for it is "tRNA-Leu". It matches the Rfam family "tRNA". Rfam says of the family: Transfer RNA (tRNA) molecules are approximately 80 nucleotides in length. Their secondary structure includes four short double-helical elements and three loops (D, anti-codon, and T loops). Further hydrogen bonds mediate the characteristic L-shaped molecular structure. tRNAs have two regions of fundamental functional importance: the anti-codon, which is responsible for specific mRNA codon recognition, and the 3' end, to which the tRNAs corresponding amino acid is attached (by aminoacyl-tRNA synthetases). tRNAs cope with the degeneracy of the genetic code in two manners: having more than one tRNA (with a specific anti-codon) for a particular amino acid; and 'wobble' base-pairing, i.e. permitting non-standard base-pairing at the 3rd anti-codon position. The record is from RNAcentral. RNAcentral also lists the same sequence under 1 other name.
GCGGGGGUUCCCGAGCGGCCAAAGGGGCAGGACUUAAGAUCCUGUGGCUUAGUGCCUUCGCAGGUUCAAACCCUGCCCCCCGCA